Molecule: long non-coding RNA, 327 nt
Organism: Triticum dicoccoides
Lineage: Eukaryota; Viridiplantae; Streptophyta; Magnoliopsida; Poales; Poaceae
Exons: 2
Source: RefSeq, a predicted model, not a curated record
CCUCUGCUGGUCGUAGACCACCCGGUGGGUGUGAGGGUCACGGUAGGCGAGGAAGAAGUGGACGGCGACGUCGGCGAGGAAGAUGAGCUGCACGCACUCGAGGUCCAGCAGGUGCUCGGGGAUGCCCCGGAAGAAGCAGAAGGCGAAGGGGGUGUAGAAGACGGAGUAGAUGGACCAGAGGAACAUCAUGUUCGACCACAUCCUGUACCAUCUGCAGCAGAGCAGAGCAGAGCACGUUCAACAUCAAGAAUCAUGGCUGCCUAGCUAGCUCCAUGCUUCCAUGCCUCUGCAUGCACUAUCUGGCUUCUAAGCACUAUCUUACGGACG